UAGGGAAUCUUCGGCAAUGGACGGAAGUCUGACCGAGCAACGCCGCGUGAGUGAAGAAGGUUUUCGGAUCGUAAAGCUCUGUUGUAAGAGAAGAACGAGUGUGAGAGUGGAAAGUUCACACUGUGACGGUAUCUUACCAGAAAGGGACGGCUAACUACGUGCCAGCAGCCGCGGUAAUACGUAGGUCCCGAGCGUUGUCCGGAUUUAUUGGGCGUAAAGCGAGCGCAGGCGGUUAGAUAAGUCUGAAGUUAAAGGCUGUGGCUUAACCAUAGUACGCUUUGGAAACUGUUUAACUUGAGUGCAAGAGGGGAGAGUGGAAUUCCAUGUGUAGCGGUGAAAUGCGUAGAUAUAUGGAGGAACACCGGUGGCGAAAGCGGCUCUCUGGCUUGUAACUGACGCUGAGGCUCGAAAGCGUGGGGAGCAAACAGGAUUAGAUACCCUGGUAGUCCACGCCGUAAACGAUGAGUGCUAGGUGUUAGACCCUUUCCGGGGUUUAGUGCCGUAGCUAACGCAUUAGGCACUCCGCCUGGGGAGUACGACCGCAAGGUUG
Molecule: ribosomal RNA, 550 nt
Filed under: uncultured bacterium
Lineage: Bacteria
Description: bacterial SSU rRNA
Rfam family: Bacterial small subunit ribosomal RNA
Source: RNAcentral